Molecule: transfer RNA, 72 nt
Organism: Ovis aries (sheep)
Lineage: Eukaryota; Metazoa; Chordata; Mammalia; Artiodactyla; Bovidae
Rfam family: tRNA
About the family: Transfer RNA (tRNA) molecules are approximately 80 nucleotides in length. Their secondary structure includes four short double-helical elements and three loops (D, anti-codon, and T loops).
Source: Rfam
UCCCUGGUGGCUCAGAUGGUAAAGCGUCUGCCUGUGAUGUGGGAGACCCGGGUUCAAUCCCUGGGUUGGGAA